GUAAUCACAGGUCAGCAUACUGUGGUGAAUACGUUCCCGGGCCUUGUACACACCGCCCGUCACACCAUGAGAGUUGAGAAUACCCGAAGUCCAUGUCAAAGUGGCCGAAGGUAGGCUUGAUGAUUGGGGUGAAGUCGUAACAAGGUAGC
RNAcentral lists this ribosomal RNA (149 nucleotides) under uncultured bacterium. RNAcentral describes it as "partial 16S ribosomal RNA". It matches the Rfam family "Bacterial small subunit ribosomal RNA", at positions 1338 to 1500 of the family's 1533-position model. The record is from RNAcentral.